This 1085-nucleotide long non-coding RNA is filed under the name Felis catus (domestic cat). RNAcentral describes it as "lncRNA (ENSFCAG00000051400.1)". Lineage: Eukaryota; Metazoa; Chordata; Mammalia; Carnivora; Felidae. The record is from RNAcentral.
AUGGUUUUCCAUCGUGUCAUGUCUAGUAGGACCCUCAGUGUUUUACUUGACUAUGAAGUAAAAACGGUCGUGUUCGUUCGUCCAACAGUUCAAUGCCAAGUUCAUCCUGACCUGGGAAGAACUCUGCAUCGAGUGCCACUGGUUGGUGUAUUAAUGACACCACAAGCAAAUACUUCCAUCAGCUAUUGUUUGGAUAUGUGUAGGUACCACUGUGACUUGGUGAAUCUUCUAUGGCAUUUUCUCAGAGCCAACUCAAGCUGUGGAUCUGCCAUAUCAUCAGCUAUAUUUGAAAAAGCAGAAUCACGUUUCUGUCGUCUUUCUUUUAAAGAAGAUGAUCUAGAAAAUUUCAUCCACCAGACAACAUCACGAUAUGGACCGUGAUCUUCUCUUCUCAAAAGAAAUCUACAGAAGAUCCAGAAAGAUGAACAGGAGAGGGGAAGAAAAUGUUCAUUCCAAUACGUUGAUCGUAAAUAAGAAUGUUGGAGGGAAGACCAUUUUGCAAUGAUUUUCAGGAGAAUAUUCACGGCAGCUCUUGGUCUCAGCAUAUGGAAGGGUGUGCGUGUAUCUAAGGUCUCUUGUUUGCUCCAGCUGCAGAAACGCUAAGCUGUUCUGUCCAUUUGUGGGGUCUCCUCUCACGUACACGUCACCACCACUGACAGAUAAGACACAGGCACACGGAAAUACACAGAGGACAGGAAUGGUCUCCAGCGUCAUCCUUGCGACAAUUUGUGAUCUGGGAAAACAACCGGUUCUCUGCCUUCUUCAAGCACUUCAUGAAUGAGGGGACUUUAAAAUAGAGGAAGGAGGGGCGCCAGGGUGGCUCUGUCGGUUAAGCGUCUGACUUCGGCUCAGGUCAUGAUCUCGCAGUUCACGGGUUCGAGCCCCACAUUAAGCAUCUGACUUCGUCUCAGGGCAUGAUCUCACAGUUUGUGGAUUUGAGUCCUGUGUCGGGCUCUGUGCUGACAGCUCCGAGCCUGGAACCUGCUUCAGAUUCUGUGUCUCCCUCUCCCUCUGCCCCUCCUACACUCACACUCUGUCUCUCUCUCAAAAAUAAACAUUUUUAAUUUUUUUUUUUUUUAAAAACA